GGGGAUAUUUGGUUUAUACCAUGGUGAUAACCGAGAGAGGCAAUUGCUAAGUUGUGGUGCACUCAUACCUUUACUAGAUGCGAACAAUUCCGGAGAAGAAGAAGAAGUGGAAUCGGACGAGGAUUUUAUUUAUGUUGUUGGGAUUCUUAUAUUGAUGGAGUUGAAGAAGUCCAGGGACAAAUAAGCCAAGACUUGGAGGAACACGAUGGAUGAAGAAGGAGUUGGCGACGUCUAUGCGAGCUAGGAACGUCUUCCC
Molecule: long non-coding RNA, 256 nt
Organism: Lolium perenne
Lineage: Eukaryota; Viridiplantae; Streptophyta; Magnoliopsida; Poales; Poaceae
Source: RefSeq, a predicted model, not a curated record